Molecule: ribosomal RNA, 494 nt
Filed under: uncultured bacterium
Lineage: Bacteria
Description: partial 16S ribosomal RNA
Rfam family: Bacterial small subunit ribosomal RNA
Source: RNAcentral
GACGAACGCUGGCGGCGCGCUUAACACAUGCAAGUCGAACGGAAAGGCCUGCUUUCCCUUGUGGAUUGCGGGUACUCGAGUGGCGAACGGGUGAGUAACACGUGAGUGAUCUGCCCCCAACUUGGGUAUAAGCCUGGGAAACUGGGUCUAAUUCCCGAUAGGACUGCAGGGUGGUGCCUGUGGUGGAAAACGAUUUUCUAGUGGUUGGGGAUGAGCUCGCGGCCUAUCAGCUUGUGGGUGGGGUAAUGGCCUACCAAGGCGGCGACGGGUAGCCGGCCUGGGAGGGUGGACGGCCACAUUGGGACUGAGAUACGGCCCAGACUCCUACGGGAGGCAGCAGUGGGGAAUAUUGCACAAUGGGCGGAAGCCUGAUGCAGCGACGCCGCGUGGGGGAUGACGGCCUUCGGGUUGUAAACUCCUUUCGACCGCGAGGAAGCCACCUGGUUGGAAGGGUGGUGACGGUAGUGGUAGAAGAAGCACCGGCUAACUACGUG